Molecule: long non-coding RNA, 1599 nt
Organism: Cyprinus carpio carpio
Lineage: Eukaryota; Metazoa; Chordata; Actinopteri; Cypriniformes; Cyprinidae
Source: Ensembl
GGCUGGAAAGGCAUAAAAAUUAACUGGUUUUCAGGUUUGGAAAGUCUGCUGGAAGUCAUUUUGGAUCAUCUUUGGCUCGAAAUCAGUUCUAAAUUCUUAUUUUUAUUCAUCCAGUUGUGUUCUUUAGUCCACAGACUGUUCUUAGACAUCUUGAAUUACUUCCUAAAGAGGAUGCAGCUCGUGACAGACCGUCUCGAUGUGCCUGUCCUUCCUUAUCAAAGCCUCGCUACAGAAACGUCUCUCCUUCAAAUAUGAGUGUAAAAGAAACUAUUCAUUACUAUUCAUUACUGUGUCUCUGCAACUAGUUCAGCUCAUUUUAUAUGGCCAUUGUGUUUUUUUAAAGGGCACCUAUUAUGCAAAAUUCACUUUUAAAUGUUGUUUGAACAAAAAUAUGUGUUGGCAGUGUGUGUACACAACCACCCUAUAAUGAUACAAAUCCACCUGCUCCUUUUUUAAUCCCCAUAAAUCAUAAGCAGUGUCUCAGAAAAAGCCGUUUGCAGAAUCCUUAAAAUGUGAAGCCACGGUUUACAUGCCCCACCCACGACUUUUGAUGGACACUGUGUGAGCCGCACACAAUCCACCACUUUAUCUUCACACUAUUCAUUCCAGAGCAGUGAGUGAUUUCUGCUUUUGUUUUAUUGUUUGGGUCAUUAACAAUGUAGACAGCAGUAUAGGUACUGUAUAUUACACUGUUGUCACUUGUAUAUUAUGCUGCUGUUACACAGAUCUAAUAUAAACAUGCAAUUUAUUUUCCAGCUGUUUAACUUCACAGACAUAACCGACUGUGCUAUUGUAACUUAUGUGUGUUUUUAACAGAAACUUGAGUGUAUUUGACACUGUUUAUCAGAAGUGUAAACUGAUAUGGCUUUAAAAUGCAUGAUAGACAUAAUCAAAACCAAACAAUGGGCAUUUUCAAUAUGAUAUAAUAAAUGAUCUGGGGGGUAUUUUGAGCUGAAACUUCACAUAAACAUUCUGGGGGCACCUGAGACUUAUAUUACAUCUUGUAAAAAGGGGCAUAAUAGGUGCCCUUUAAAAAAACCUAAUUUGUUUUAACUGUCAUUUGCAGUUGGUAUUGAGGAUGGAUGUCCCUGAAUCAUCAACAAAGUGCUGGAGAAUUUCACAGUGGAGAGUUUCCACCAUGGCAGAAUGUUGGAGUUGGCCAAGGCCAUGGGGCUGACCCUGUCCCGUCAGUCAGCCCACAGUAGAGAACAGGCCGGGACACAGGAGGAGCACAGGAUGGCCUCUCUGGUGCUUCCACUCGUGCAUUACGAUCAACGUAUGGAACACAGGAAAUGCAAGACCUAAGCUGUGGACAGUAAUAACUUUCUAAGAUGGGCACAAAUUGUAACUGCACGUUAAAAUUACAGUGUUCAUGUAAGAUUGAUUUGAAAAUAAAUGGGAUUAUUCAGGUAACGGAAACUGGAAUUGCCUGUGUUCCGAUUAGUUUUUGCAACAACCUGAUGCAAAUAGAUUGCAUUCAAUUUGCAUAUACCUGAGAUGACUGUAAGAGAUUGGAAUUACACCUCUGUUGAUUGAUGUUAUUGAAUAGCAAGCAAGGACAAGGAUUAUGAAAAAUGUCUUUGGUUUUAAGAAUCAAAU